RNAcentral lists this long non-coding RNA (780 nucleotides) under Homo sapiens (human). RNAcentral describes it as "non-protein coding lnc-PFKP-16:17". Lineage: Eukaryota; Metazoa; Chordata; Mammalia; Primates; Hominidae. The record is from RNAcentral.
AGAGAAGAAGACAUUCAGGGAGACACCAAGCCAGGGAGGUGACAAGUAUGUGGUAAAAUCCGAGCACGCAGAAUUUGGGGGAACAGGACUCUAGACUGCCUCUAGAGAGAGCUGUAUUGAAGGCCCUGCGACCCAGCACAGAGAAGGGAAUGGUGCUCUAGGUCCCUGCCUCUGCAGAAGACAAAUCCAGGAAGAGAACCAGGAAACUGCAGAGUAGCCAGCCACAUGCGAGAAAAAUCUGAAGGAGACGAAAAUGUUUCAGGAGAAAGGUACUGAGCAACCAAGGGGCUUAAUGCUGCUAGGUCAAGCAGAUUCAGAAGUGAGAUGCCACUGCUGGCUCUGGAAUCGUGGUGUCCCUGGGGCUUGGCUGGCCAGAGCAGUUUCCCUGGGACAUGGCCAGAGCAGACUUUUGGAGUGGGUGGGGGGUCGGAGAGGACAAGGAAAGGUGAUUCCCUAAGGGGUGAGCGCAUGAAGAUUAGCAAAGUCGUGGGACUGUGGAGAGAGGUGUGUGUGCAGUGACACUGGGUCUUCCUCUGUUUUGUUUAAAUGACAGAGGUUACUAAGCCACGUGGGUUUGUAGAUGGUGAUGCUAGAGAAGAGGGACACUCAUCCUGCAGAAGGGGAAGGAAAAUUAUCAGUCACGUUCUUGAGAAGACAAGGAGCGCUUGGCUGGGCUGAAAACGCAAGGGGAGGAUAGGACCUUUGCCGAGGGCAGGACGACUUACAGUGACACGAGGAAGGCACGAGUGAGGGUAGCAACGCCGUGUGCAGGCAGUCACA